This 502-nucleotide ribosomal RNA is filed under the name uncultured bacterium. Its description in RNAcentral is "bacterial SSU rRNA". It matches the Rfam family "Bacterial small subunit ribosomal RNA", at positions 19 to 518 of the family's 1533-position model. The record is from RNAcentral.
CUGGCUCAGGAUGAACGCUGGCGGCGUGCCUAACACAUGCAAGUCGAACGAAGCAUACGGACCGGAGAUUCGUCGAAGGACCGUAUGACUUAGUGGCGGACGGGUGAGUAAUGUAUGAGCAACCUGCCUUUCAGAGGGGGACAACAGUUGGAAACGACUGCUAAUACCGCGUAACGUAUCGUGAGGGCAUCCUCGUGAUACCAAAGGAGCAAUCCGCUGAAAGAUGGGCUCAUAUCUGAUUAGCUUGUUGGCGGGGUAACGGCCCACCAAGGCGACGAUCAGUAGCCGGACUGAGAGGUUGAACGGCCACAUUGGGACUGAGAUACGGCCCAGACUCCUACGGGAGGCAGCAGUGGGGAAUAUUGGGCAAUGGGCGAAAGCCUGAACCCCAGCAACGCCGCGUGAAGGAAGAAGGUCUUCGGAUUGUAACUUCUUUAUGAGGGACGAAGGACGUGACGGUACCUCAUGAAUAAGCCACGGCUAACUACGUGCCAGCAGCUGC